Molecule: long non-coding RNA, 1061 nt
Filed under: Cyanistes caeruleus (blue tit)
Lineage: Eukaryota; Metazoa; Chordata; Aves; Passeriformes; Paridae
Description: lncRNA (ENSCCEG00000004631.1)
Source: RNAcentral
UGAUUGAGGCUGAAACUCCACCUGCGACUCCACAAACCUGCAGGAAUUUCCCCUCUUGCUGCCUUCGUGAAUUCUGUGCAAUUCUAGCUCUUGGGGGAUCCCUGGUGUUGGUGGGGAUGACAGAGAUGGGCUGUGGCUGCCGGUAAAACAAUGAAUUUACUGAAAAACUAAAUAAUUACAUAACGAAGCAACUAAAUAAUGAAUUUCCAGAAUAACUAAAUAAUUAAAUAAUUAGGUCAUUGAGUAAUUAAAUAAUUAAUUUACUGAAUUACUAAAUAAAUAACGAGUCAAUAACUAAAUAGCUAAAUAAAUAAAUAACUAGAUAAUUAAGUGCCUCUUGCAGAAGCAGCAGGCAAUUAAUUAUCUAGCUAAUUAAUGGUUUCAAUGAACUGCCCUCUCUGCCCUGAGCUGCAGGGCAAGGGCUACGGGAACAGCACAGGACCCCCAAAACUGAUGCACAGGGUUGUGCUACAACAUCCAUCACUCCGUGUCUGAUCCCACAAGGGCACUGUGGCCCCUGCACUCCUGCAGCUGGAACAUUCCCACGGGGCCAGAGGUGGAGCAAGACAAACAGCCUGAGCUGCUGGGGGAAGAGCCAACACAACAGCCACUGGGGAGAGCUGGGUUCUCAGUCCCAGAAGAAGGAAUCCCCCAUGGCAGGACAGAGAAGCACCAGGAUGUGGAGCUGGAAGGUGGUGGCCAAGACAGGCUCCAAACUGGAUGGCCAAAGGGGGGCAGAGGGGAACCACCACAGCCUGGGAGUGAGAGAAAAAAAUUGCUGCAGGUGCUUCCAAGAGAGGGAAAUCCAUGAAAUCUCAGUGGGCAGAUGCCAGGCAGGCUGAAAGCUUGGGCAAGAGACUGCCUCAGGGGAUCCAAACCAUCCUGAGACCCUUCCUCAAACACUUCCAGAGCAGGGGUCACCUCAGAGACCUCGGGGGACAAGGGAGGGUGUUGGCCAGAGGGGACACAUGGGGCAAAUGUAGCCUGGAAAGAACAUGUGAGUGAAUCCCAGCCCUUCUGGGUUUCCCCAGCACAAAGGACGUGGAGCUCCUGGAAUGAGC